GAUUAGAUUUUAUUUAUUAAUUAUUAAUAUUAAAUUUUAAAAUAUUAGAAAUAACUAUAAAUUUAAGUGUUUUAGUAUUGUUUAAAGAAAAAAUAAUUUUAAUAAUAGUGCAAUAGUAUUGUGAAAGAAAAUUGAAAUAAUUUGAAAAAUUUUUAUUAUAAAAGAAAAUUUAAUUUAUUGUACCUUGUGUAUCAGCGUUUAUUAAAUAAAAAAUAAAUAUUUAUUUUUCUCGAUUUUAAAAGAGUUAAUAUAAUAUAUAAGUUAAUGUGACAAAAUUAUUUAAAAUAUUAUAUUAGAAAUGAAAUGUUAUUCGUUUUUAAAGGUAUCUAGUUUUUCAAGAAAUAAAUUUAAUUUAGAAAUUAUAAAUUUAUUUAGUUAUUUAAAAAAUUAAAUAAUUUAUAAUUUUAAUAUUUUAUGGGAUAAGCUAUAAAAUAAAUUUUUAAAAAUAAUAAAUAAAUUUAAUAAAUAUAUGCUUAGAAUUAGCAAUUAUUAAAAAAUUUGUUAUAAUUUAUUUUAUAAAUUAAAUUAUUUAUUAAAUUUUAAUUAUUUAUUGAAAUAUUAAUUUUAAUUAAUAAAAUUAAGAAAUAAUGAUAGAAUUAGUAUAUUUUUAUGUAAAAAUAAAUUUUAAUGAUAAGUUUAAAUAAAGAAUUCGGCAAAAAUAAUGUUCGCCUGUUUAACAAAAACAUGUCUUUUUGAAUUAAAUAUAAAGUCUAACCUGCCCACUGAAAAUUUUUAAAUGGCCGCAGUAUUCUGACUGUGCAAAGGUAGCAUAAUCAUUAGUCUUUUAAUUGAAGGCUGGAAUGAAUGGUUGGACGAAAUAUUAACUGUUUCAUUUAAAAUUAAAAUAGAAUUUUAUUUUUUAGUCAAAAAGCUAAAAUAAAUUUAAAAGACGAGAAGACCCUAUAAAUCUUUAUAUUUUGUUUAUUUUAAUUAUAAAGAUUAAUUUAAUUUUAAUAAAUUAAAAUAUUUUAUUGGGGUGAUAUUAAAAUUUAAAAAACUUUUAAUUUUUAAAAACAUUAAUUUAUGAAUAAUUGAUCCAUUAAUAAUGAUUAAAAAAUUAAGUUACUUUAGGGAUAACAGCGUAAUUUUUUUGGAGAGUUCAUAUCGAUAAAAAAGAUUGCGACCUCGAUGUUGGAUUAAGAUAUAAUUUUGGGUGUAGCCGUUCAAAUUUUAAGUCUGUUCGACUUUUAAAUUCUUACAUGAUCUGAGUUCAAACCGGUGUAAGCCAGGUUGGUUUCUAUCUUUAAAAAUUUGUAAUAUUUUAGUACGAAAGGACCAAAUAUUAAAAUAAUUAUAUUUAAAAUGAUGAAUAUUAUUAAUAUUAUAUAAAAUAUAAACUAUUUUGGCAGAUUAGUGCAAUAA
This 1362-nucleotide ribosomal RNA is filed under the name Drosophila anomalata. RNAcentral describes it as "16S ribosomal RNA". Lineage: Eukaryota; Metazoa; Arthropoda; Insecta; Diptera; Drosophilidae. The record is from RNAcentral.